Molecule: ribosomal RNA, 468 nt
Filed under: uncultured bacterium
Lineage: Bacteria
Description: bacterial SSU rRNA
Rfam family: Bacterial small subunit ribosomal RNA
Source: RNAcentral
UGAACGCUGGCGGCAAGCCUCAUACAUGCAAGUCGAACGAGAAAGCAUCUUCGGAUGUGAGUAAAGUGGCGGACGGGUGAGUAAUACAUAGGAAUCUACCCAAUGGCGGGGGACAGCUCGAGGAAACUCGAAUUAAUACCGCAUAAUCUCUACGGAGUAAAGAGGGCUUCGGCUCUCACCAUCGGAUGAGCCUAUGCAAGAUUAGCUUGUUGGUAAGGUAAUGGCUUACCAAGGCUACGAUCUUUAGCUGGUUUGAGAGGAUGACCAGCCACAUCGGGACUGAGACACGGCCCGGACUUCUACGGAAGGCAGCAGUAGGGAAUAUUGGACAAUGAGCGAAAGCUUGAUCCAGCUAUGCCGCGUGUGCGAUGACGGCCCUCGGGUUGUAAAGCACUUUAGGUAACGAGGAAAAGUUAGGUGUUAAUACCACUUAACCAUGACGUUAAUUACAGAAUAAGCACCGGCUAA